Long non-coding RNA from Xiphophorus hellerii (green swordtail), 336 nucleotides. RefSeq lists it as uncharacterized. NCBI's taxonomy places the organism in Eukaryota, Metazoa, Chordata, Actinopteri, Cyprinodontiformes, Poeciliidae. The transcript is spliced from 2 exons. The record is from RefSeq and is a predicted model, not a curated record.
GUGCAAUAAUUAGGCUGGUUGUAGGAUUAUUUGUAGAGCAGCUGUGAGCAGAGCAGUCAGGAGAACAGAGACUGGUGAUUUUGUGAACUCCAGGACACCACUGGUGGUUGCAGCUUAUGCUCACAUGAUAUUGCUGUACUGGCCGGGGUUGUACUUGAACUGUUUGUGUUUCCUAAAACAAAGAAUUAAGUUUGUUAGACAGUGGCACCCCCUAGUGGCUGUAAACAGUAAAACUACAACAGAAGACCUUUGGCACCACACCAUGAACACGUUACUGCAGACACUUAAAUGAAACAAGAUGGUUCAUUAGAAUUGUUAUUUAAUCACAUAAGAUCC